UAUAAAAAGAUGUUGCCUGGUGACCUGUCAGAAACCCAUUAUACAGAGUCAGCCAAAAUAAUGUUUACACACAUCAGGAAAAGAAAAACUUGCAUAAAUAUUUCAAUACCAAAUUUAUUCAGACAUCACAAGAUUAAUAAAAGUUAUCUUUGGCCUCUACAAUUACAAGAGGUGCUCAAAGUGGUGGCCACUGGCUUCCAGACAUUUCUGUUGUGUUGUAGACGUCACUUGUUGAUGCUCCAUUCAUGAGGGUAGCGCCAUCUGUUGGGAAAACAUUGUACAACAGGACACCGAGUUGUCGUGAUUUGAUCAAACUUAGAAAGAGGAAUCUAUAUGUGUAGAAGUACUUAUACAAAUGAAAUAUUUAUAAAAGUUUUUCUUUUCCUGAUGUGUGUACAUUAUUUUGGCUGACUCUGACUGUGAACUUAAUGAGAACAAAAUUGUCAUUUAGUUGUUGCUCUGGAAGCUUCUUUAGUGAAAACCAGCUGGUGUUCUGCUUUGAAAAAAAAACUGCUGUUGAGGUCUGUGUUUUUAGGUUUAACCCCACAGUUUCUGAAUGAACUGAUAGUUUUAAUUGACGUUAUAAUUGAUGGUAACAUUUACUGAUCAUAUAAUCAGCAUGACAAUAUAACAGUAGAACAUUCUGACCACCUGACUAAUACUGUGUUGGUCCCUUUAUGCUGCUAAAACUCCUCUGACCCAGUGGUUCAUCAGAACCUCUGGGGAUGUCCUGUGGAUUCUGUGGAUCCUGUGGGUUGCAGGGUGGGUCCUACCUAGACCAGGCUGAUCCUGGACCAUCCCACAGAUGCUCAAUCAGAUCUGGAUGUGGGGAGUGUGGAACCCAGAUGUUCAGAGGGAGAUGAUGCCACAUCUGGUCCAGCUGAUGGAAGGUCUUGAAGUUCUCUGACUGGCCUCGACUGAAGAUGGUCGUCUCACUGGAUUUAAGGUUCAGAUGCUCAGUAACAAACUCCACCAAUGAGCCAACAGGGAAGCUUUAGGUUUAUUAAAUGUUGCUAUGAAGGUUUCGCUGUUUUUCUUUGUGAAUGCAAUGAGCUCCAACUGAAACUUGAAUUAGAACUUAGAAGUAAAUCCUUCCAUCUGAAAGGAUUUAGUUGCAUUAAUAACCUCAUAACAUUCUAAUUUUUAUUCCAGUCUUGGUUGGAAAUAGAAUCUCUGUAUUGAUUCAGGUAAAAACUGAACUUCACAGCAUGUUGGAGCAAAACAACCAGAUGAAAACUGUGAUGGUGUUGGAUUGUCAGACCGUAAUGUUGCAGCUCAAAGCAGCUUUUCUAUCUCAGUUCAUUCUGACAUUCAGCUAUGAAUCAACACAGCAGAUGGUGAUCCAUGCUGUGGAAGUCUCACAUCUCCUGAUUUAAUGGAGCUGCUUUGCACUUUUUACACUGUUUAUUCACCAACACUUUAUUUAAUAAAAGUCCAUCUAGUUUUUAUGAGGAAUGUGAUGUUUUAAUUUCUCUGUGAAUAACUGCAGUCUAAUGCAACAGCUGGAGUUGUAACAUCUGUCCUGAUAUUGAUCAUGAAGUAUUGAUCAGAAUACUUAUGGUCAGCAGUCAUCCCUGAAGUUUUACAUUAAAAUCUUUACUUGUGUUGUGAACUUUGGUAAGAAGCAGAAACUUUAGCGUUGCCAUGGAUACAUGAGUGUUAAAUUCUGUCCAUGUUUCCAUUUUGGGAAAUUCAGUCCAGCAGAUGAGUUUGUUUUUACUGCCAGCAACCAUUCAGUCUGAGAUAUUAAGAAUAAAUAAAUGUGCAUAAUGUGGAAAUGAACAGAUUCUAUUUUUAUUUAUACCUACAGCUGCUGGUAAAGUUCCAGAAUGUGGAGGAAUUUAGUCUCACAAUCACAGACAAUAAAUAUUAUCUGAAAGUCAGGUUAUUGUUGUUUAUCAGCACAAUACAAAAAGAUUAAUGUUAGAAAUAUUCCAGUUAAGACUCUAGAAUAUCAGGAUUUAUGUAAAUUUACCUCAAUAAUAUGAAUGUUCAGGUUAAGAUUGUACAGUGAUAUUUAUUAUGUAAGUUUAGCUGAUUAAAGUUUAUGACUCUGCACUAAAAUAUUAUGUAUUUAAAUUGACAUCAUUAUUAUAAUAUUUAGGGUCAGACCCUACAGUAUUGAGAUUAAGAAAUCAAAUAUUCUAUAAAAUAUAAAUACACUGAACUCAUUUGGAUAUAUUUAAGUGAGACUCUACAAUAUUAUUUGACACAAAUCUAUCUAAAUCAAAACUUUAAUCAUUUUUACUCCAAACAUUUACUGGACUGAUUUAAACAUUAAAAUCACUCCUUUCUAAUCCUCUGCUGUACGUUCAAACCUGAGGCCUUAAAUAGAAACACACAAGUAUCUGAUUGAAGGAACUUCUGCAGAGUCCUGGUUCCAGAACAUGAUGAUAGAAUUAUAGACAAACUUUAACAAAAGCUGCCUGAGAGUUUACAGGUUUUUAUGUUAGAUUUCUUCAAUAAUUUAAUGAGAGUUAUCAGCAAAAAUCAAGUGUUCAUUUGAUGAACUUCAUUUCCUAAAACAUCCAGAAUUGGAGCUCAUAUCUUUGGCAGCUGUAAAGUUUCUGCUCCUUCAAAGUUCACAACACAAUGAAUGAAUUCCUAAAACACUCUCAAUGCUGGAGAGCGUUUGUGAUGCUGAAGCAGUGACCAGUUUUUCAGUUUCUUCUCUGGAGAUGCACAAUGAGGGACGUCUGCAGAGACUGAGAAAGAGUCUCACCACAUCCUGACAUGAGGAAAAAGACUUUAUUGAAGACUACAAUGAGAAAAACUAUCAGACAGCAGACGGCUGCAUUCAAGUCUGUAGCUGCUGAAUUCAUGGAUGAAUCAUCUGGCACUAGAGAGGAAGACCAUCAAACAUCCAUGUCAGCUGAUGGAGGUCCAAGAGUCUCACCAAACAAACAACCUACAGAGUGAAGACCUCGAACCUGAUUGGACGGCCUCCUAUUCAGCCACAUGUGUGAACAAAUGCCUCUAAGCUGAUUUGUUUUCUAAAAUAAAUCUAGUUUGAGUCCUAA
This is a long non-coding RNA of Amphiprion ocellaris (clown anemonefish), 3020 nucleotides long. RefSeq lists it as uncharacterized. The record is from RefSeq and is a predicted model, not a curated record. The transcript is spliced from 3 exons. NCBI's taxonomy places the organism in Eukaryota, Metazoa, Chordata, Actinopteri, Pomacentridae.